Molecule: unclassified non-coding RNA, 538 nt
Filed under: Hevea brasiliensis (rubber tree)
Lineage: Eukaryota; Viridiplantae; Streptophyta; Magnoliopsida; Malpighiales; Euphorbiaceae
Source: RNAcentral
AUAAUACAAUAGUGUGAGAGAGUAAAAUCUUGGAUUUGGACAUGGUAUCAAGAGCUUGAUAUGACAUCGCGGAUCAGUUGAUACUAAGAUACAUAAAGUACUCUACUCUUUAAUUAACCAGAAAGAAGAUGCAGUCACAACAUAAUAGACAAGGAGUCAGCCACUUCACAUACUGCAUUUUUAUAGUUGAACCCUCGGGAACUAAAAAGUCAGUUGAAGUAUCACUUAUGAUCUUACUUUAGCAAGACGAGCCCUCAGUUCUUCUAGAUCUUCAUCGUCAUCAGCAUCCUCUGCAUCUCCUACUGCCUGAGCAGGUUGCUUUAGCUUCUCCUUUCGGACUGCUUCAGGAAGUUGCGCGGCAGUCUCACCAGCAAGUUCAGUUAAGACCCUGUCAACUUCUUCUUCAAUCUCAUCUUCUAUGUCUUCUGAAUCCAAUGCACUGUCCACUGCAUCAUUCACAAUUUCUUCAAUGACGCCAGCCUUGGUCAUCUCUUUAUUGAAUUCCUGCAUUGUAAUAGCCACUUCUGGAGCCUUCAUA